GAUGAACGCUGGCGGCGUGCUUAACACAUGCAAGUCGAACGGAAAGGCCCUGCCGUUGUGGGGCGCUCGAGGGGCGAACGGGUGAGUAACACGUGAGUAACCUGCCCGUGGGUUUGGGAUAACGUCAGGAAACUGGGUCUAAUACCGGAUCGGAGGUUGUGCUGCAUGGUGGGGGCUGGAAAGUUUCGGCGGUUGGGGUUGGACCCGCGGCUUAUCAGCUUGUUGGUGGGGUGGUGGCUUACCAAGGCAUUGACGGGUAGCCGGCCUGAGUGGGCGACCGGCCACAUUGGGACUGAGAUACGGCCCAGACUCGUACGGGAGGCAGCAGUGGGGAAUAUUGCACAGUGGGCGGGAGCCUGAUGCAGCAACGCCGCGUGCGGGAUGACGGCCUUCGGGUUGUAAACCGCUUUCGCCUGUGACGAAGCGUGAGUGACGGUAAUGGGUAAAGAAGCACCGGCUAACUACGUG
Molecule: ribosomal RNA, 468 nt
Filed under: uncultured bacterium
Lineage: Bacteria
Description: partial 16S ribosomal RNA
Rfam family: Bacterial small subunit ribosomal RNA
Source: RNAcentral